RNAcentral lists this ribosomal RNA (1507 nucleotides) under Klebsiella pneumoniae. RNAcentral's name for it is "bacterial SSU rRNA". It matches the Rfam family "Bacterial small subunit ribosomal RNA". The record is from RNAcentral. Lineage: Bacteria; Pseudomonadati; Pseudomonadota; Gammaproteobacteria; Enterobacterales; Enterobacteriaceae.
UCCAGAGUUUGAUCCUGGUCAGAACGAACGCUGGCGGCAGGCCUAACACAUGCAAGUCGAGCGGUAGCACAGAGAGCUUGCUCUCGGGUGACGAGCGGCGGACGGGUGAGUAAUGUCUGGGAAACUGCCUGAUGGAGGGGGAUAACUACUGGAAACGGUAGCUAAUACCGCAUAACGUCGCAAGACCAAAGUGGGGGACCUUCGGGCCUCAUGCCAUCAGAUGUGCCCAGAUGGGAUUAGCUGGUAGGUGGGGUAACGGCUCACCUAGGCGACGAUCCCUAGCUGGUCUGAGAGGAUGACCAGCCACACUGGAACUGAGACACGGUCCAGACUCCUACGGGAGGCAGCAGUGGGGAAUAUUGCACAAUGGGCGCAAGCCUGAUGCAGCCAUGCCGCGUGUGUGAAGAAGGCCUUCGGGUUGUAAAGCACUUUCAGCGGGGAGGAAGGCGGUGAGGUUAAUAACCUCAUCGAUUGACGUUACCCGCAGAAGAAGCACCGGCUAACUCCGUGCCAGCAGCCGCGGUAAUACGGAGGGUGCAAGCGUUAAUCGGAAUUACUGGGCGUAAAGCGCACGCAGGCGGUCUGUCAAGUCGGAUGUGAAAUCCCCGGGCUCAACCUGGGAACUGCAUUCGAAACUGGCAGGCUAGAGUCUUGUAGAGGGGGGUAGAAUUCCAGGUGUAGCGGUGAAAUGCGUAGAGAUCUGGAGGAAUACCGGUGGCGAAGGCGGCCCCCUGGACAAAGACUGACGCUCAGGUGCGAAAGCGUGGGGAGCAAACAGGAUUAGAUACACUGGUAGUCCACGCUGUAAACGAUGUCGAUUUGGAGGUUGUGCCCUUGAGGCGUGGCUUCCGGAGCUAACGCGUUAAAUCGACCGCCUGGGGAGUACGGCCGCAAGGUUAAAACUCAAAUGAAUUGACGGGGGCCCGCACAAGCGGUGGAGCAUGUGGUUUAAUUCGAUGCAACGCGAAGAACCUUACCUGGUCUUGACAUCCACAGAACUUAGCAGAGAUGCUUUGGUGCCUUCGGGAACUGUGAGACAGGUGCUGCAUGGCUGUCGUCAGCUCGUGUUGUGAAAUGUUGGGUUAAGUCCCGCAACGAGCGCAACCCUUAUCCUUUGUUGCCAGCGGUCCGGCCGGGAACUCAAAGGAGACUGCCAGUGAUAAACUGGAGGAAGGUGGGGAUGACGUCAAGUCAUCAUGGCCCUUACGACCAGGGCUACACACGUGCUACAAUGGCAUAUACAAAGAGAAGCGACCUCGCGAGAGCAAGCGGACCUCAUAAAGUAUGUCGUAGUCCGGAUUGGAGUCUGCAACUCGACUCCAUGAAGUCGGAAUCGCUAGUAAUCGUAGAUCAGAAUGCUACGGUGAAUACGUUCCCGGGCCUUGUACACACCGCCCGUCACACCAUGGGAGUGGGUUGCAAAAGAAGUAGGUAGCUUAACCUUCGGGAGGGCGCUUACCACUUUGUGAUUCAUGACUGGGGUGAAGUCGUAACAAGGUAGCCGUAG